AGAGUUUGAUCCUGGCUCAGAUUGAACGCUGGCGGCGUGCUUAACACAUGCAAGUCGAACGUGAAAGUCCUUCGGGAUGAGUAAAGUGGCGCACGGGUGAGUAACGUGUGGAUAAUCUACCUUCAAGACGGGGAUAACGGUUGGAAACGGCCGCUAAUACCGGAUACGCUAUAUAUUAUAACGUUAUAUAGGAAAUGAUAGCCUCUGCUUGCAAGCUAUUGCUUGAAGAUGAGUCCGCGUCCCAUUAGCUAGUUGGUGAGGUAAAAGCUCACCAAGGCAACGAUGGGUAGCCGUUCUAAGAGGAUGAUCGGCCACACUGGAACUGGAACACGGUCCAGACUCCUACGGGAGGCAGCAGUGGGGAAUAUUGCGCAAUGGGCGAAAGCCUGACGCAGCGACGCCGCGUGAGGGAUGAAGGUCUUCGGAUCGUAAACCUCUGUCAGAGGGGAAGAAGUGUGUCUAUUCAAAUAGGGUAGGCAUUUGACGGUACCCUCAAAGGAAGCACCGGCUAACUCCGUGCCAGCAGCCGCGGUAAUACGGAGGGUGCGAGCGUUAAUCGGAAUUACUGGGCGUAAAGCGCACGUAGGUGGUUUUGUAAGUCAGGGGUGAAAUCCCACCGCUCAACGGUGGAACAGCCUUUGAUACUGCAUCACUAGAGUAUCGGAGAGGGUGGCGGAAUUCCAGGUGUAGGAGUGAAAUCCGUAGAUAUCUGGAGGAACACCGGUGGCGAAGGCGGCCACCUGGACGAAAACUGACACUGAGGUGCGAAAGCAUGGGGAGCAAACAGGAUUAGAUACCCUGGUAGUCCAUGCUGU
Molecule: ribosomal RNA, 815 nt
Filed under: uncultured bacterium
Lineage: Bacteria
Description: bacterial SSU rRNA
Rfam family: Bacterial small subunit ribosomal RNA
Source: RNAcentral